This is a long non-coding RNA of Callorhinus ursinus (northern fur seal), 4185 nucleotides long. RefSeq lists it as uncharacterized. The record is from RefSeq and is a predicted model, not a curated record. Lineage: Eukaryota; Metazoa; Chordata; Mammalia; Carnivora; Otariidae.
UUCUCCCUUUCCUCCUUAAGACCCUUCAAUGCCUCCCUGUUGGCUUCAGAAUAGAACCCAAACUGCUCCCUGUUCUUCCAAAGCCCCUCCUUAUGCAGCCCAUGCCCCUGAGUCCCCGUCAUUCUUUCCCUUUCACACGGUCUGUUCUAGCCCUCACCCACAAGCCACAGUCCUGCUCACCUGCCUCCACACAUGCUUCUCGGUCUUCUUCACUGUCUCUCUUAGCUCAAUUCUUUCUCACCCACCAAGUGUCAGCUCAUGCUUUGCCUCCUCUGUAUGUCCUUCUCUGUCCACCCUUCCCUCAUGGGCAGUCUUUUUUUACCCCUUUCCGUGUUUCGGUGGCACUCUGUGCCUGCAGCUCUCCUGCCCUGCUUGCUUUUGGGUUUUGUUUUGUUUUGUUUUGUUUUUUGUUUGUUUGUUUUUUCUGUCUCUUCGAACCCUAUUGCAGAGCCCAGAGCACAGGAGACCCUCCGUAAGGGAGAGGAAUGAACGAAUGAAUGAAGUACAGGAAUGAAUAAACUAGUCAUCAUCUUUCCUGGUAUACACAAAGGUUUUAGCAUGCAGGCCAUGCUGAUGCCAGAGGGAUGCGAAAGGAAUGGCAACAGCCCUAAUCAAAGAGGUACCUAAGAGAGCUGAGCCCUGAACGUGCUGAGGUUUCCUCUGGUCAGUGCCACAGAGCAGAGAGGAGCCGGGCAGAAGACGUCCUCCACACAGGACCUGAAAGACACAACCCACGUGCACAUUUGGUCAUCAUCGUCGAUGACUAACUGUGACGUAUCUGCAGUCUGUACCUCCAGCUCGGGUCCCACCAUGUCUGCCCUUUGGGGAAUUGUGGCACUUUUCUGUGUUUCAGUCUCCAUCACUGCAACACGAAGGUGCUAACAGUAAUAAGUUGACACAUUUAAGGAGCACAUAGCGUGUGCCAUGGUUCUACUCAGUUUAUCUCCCUUGCACUCCAUGAGGAAGCUACUACCAUUAUCUUCAAUUCAUAGACAAGGAAACUCAGAGGGGUUAUUACGAAAGCCAAGACUGGAAAAUCGGAAACUGUCUGAUCCUACCCCAAGCCCUAAACCACUGACAACCAUCUGACUGUUUCUGUGAAUCCUCCUUGGCUAAGCCCAUUCACACCCAUCCACACCAUACCUGUAGCCCCCCGGGCCAGUGCCACCUCUACUAUUUUACCACACCUGAACUGUAUAAUGUACCAUGUUCUUGUGUUAUUUAUUGUUUCUCUUUCUCUUCUCUAGAAUGCGAGCUCCCCAAGGGCUGGGACCUGUUUUAUUCCCAAAUGUAUUCCCAACACUGAAGAAGAGCCUGAGACUAAGUAGGCGUUCCAUGACUGUUGAGUGAAUGGAGGACACUGAUGUCAAAUUAGAAGUAUGACCCAGCGUGAGGGACUCCAUAUAAUCUCCCAGAACCCCAGGAGAGACCCCAGGAGAGCCCUGGAGUGUUACCCAUUCCCCAGCACCUGACACCAGAGCUCCCAUCAGCGGUCACCAGCAGUCUUCAGCCUUGACGGCUUGCACCCUUCAGCACUUCACUCCAAGAGGCUGGGUGUGAAAACGCUUGAGGGCAAACAGCCAGCAAAAAUGACUGCUAGUAUUAUUUUCCUUGGGGCUGAUUGGGGGAGGGGAGUAUGUACGGCGUCUAAGCUCCAGACCUGAGCUUCCCUGAAACGACGGCUGAGUCUGAGCUCACUGACACUGCUGUAAGGUGUCAGAGGGAGAGACAUCUCCCACACUGAGGAGAUCAGACUCUCGGAGACCUUCCUUGGCCCACAUGUGAAACCCAAUACCACCAGCGACACAGGCACCCUCCUCUUGCUUGAGAACAAACAGCAGAAUGUUCCAUCGUAUUUGAUGGGAGGAGAGGGAGUGUAAAUUUCACUAUGAAUUGAUAACACUUAGUCAGCCUGCUUCUAAAGCAAGGGGUUUGCAAAAUUUCCCUGAGGACAAGCCCAGGAAAUGUGUUGACCUGGUUUCACACACAGGCAGAUCUCCAGAUCUGAAGGUGGGGUCAUCAGCAGCCACUGAAGAGGACACAGCCCUGUGACUCUUGUCAUCCCCAGGAUGCUGACUGCGGGCACCAACUACACGUUGUAACGGCAGGCUCCCAGGGUGGUCGUCGGGGUCAGUAGAAGGUUUAAGUUAACUUUUGGAGAAGUGAUCUGGAGGGACAUACAGUCUGUUUUACACAUUAGAGGUCACAAACCUCAAUGCCUAUCAUACUCAGGUAAUAUUUAAAAAAAAAAAAAAAAAAGGAGCGAACUGGAGUGAUAUGCAGACGCAUAUCCUGUCUAAAUGGGGCGGAGGCUUCUCUGCUCCAGCCAGUCUUUGGUAGGAGAAGUAGGGAGAACUCUAGUUUUUGUCUUGUUUUUAAUUAUAGUUACUUUUUAUGAGACAGCUCCCAAUCUCUAACGGCUGUCAACUAGAAAAAUUUCAAGUCAAAGGAAGGAAAAGUCAGGGGACAGCAGGUGAUGCUCUAUUGUACUGCUGAGCUGUACUGACACUUCACACUGGUAAGCUCACGUCAUCCCGUGGAACUUUCUCAGAGCAAUCUAUCCAUCGCCCCUUGCACAGCUGAAGAAGCUGUGGCCCCAGUGGGUAAAAAUUACUUGCCAAAGCUUACCUGGUGAGUUAAGUGACUGAGAUCAUGAACACACAGGUUGUCCCAACCACAGUCAUUCUCUUUCUUGUUCACAAGGGAACAUUUUCUACUCUCGAUGCCUAACAAUGGACUGAUGGUUUUUGUUAAGUAGUGAGCUCCCUGUUGCUCUGAGCAGUCAAGCAAGGUCUAGAUAACCUUUUCCCAAAAAUGUUAGAAAAGGCAAGUCUCACUUUGAUAGUGAAAUGAGACCAGAUUAUAUGGAGGAUCACUUUUGUUGCUCUGACUCAAUAUUUUUCAAAGCCCAGUAGGCUUUGGCAGAGUAAUCCUUGUCCCAUAGAGUUAGUUGGAGUGGAAUUUAACAUGAAGAGUCUACCUUGAAUGCAGAAUUUUUAUAGCCAAAGACAUGAUAAAAGUUUCGGUGCAAAGGUAGUAUAUUAACUCCUAAUGAUUUGUUUUUGUUUUUGUUUUUUUUUAAAUGGAGACUUCCUUGCUGUUCUCAGUCCUUUGAAGUAUGAGUCUAUGGAUGCAUAGAGAGUUCACCUUACCGUUUCCAGUCUUGUAAAUUGAUGUCAGUGGUACCAAUUACACAUACAAGUAGAUGACAGCCUCUUAGAAGGAAACCAACAAUACAUGUAUACUGUAUUUUAUAUUGAAAUCACUAUAAUUAUUAUUUCUAGAAAAUAAUGUGUCUGAAAAAGGUUGACUAGAAAAUGAAUCAUAAAACAAGAUAAUAAUAUUAAAGAGACCACAUUAAAUUAUUUCUGGAACAAGGUGAGAGAUAGAUAACUAGCUUGCUACACAGACAGAAAUAGCUACGAUAAAAAGUAAAUAUAUGCAGCAAUUUUCAAUAUGCAUUGUUUUUUUUUUCCACAUUUGCUAGUUAAUUCAAUCAAUGCAACCAAUCUGGGCUUUGCUUUGGCCUAAUUCACAGAGAGCCCCGACAUUGUGUUAAGGAUUUUGAUGCCAGGAUCUUAGUUAUUCCUCAAAACAAUUAUGUGAGAGAGGCAUUAUCACUAUUUCUGUUACUAUUCAUAUUAUUCCCUUUUGAGGGUGACAGUCCAGAACCUCAGAAAGGUCUUAUCAAAGCCUUAAUCAAAGGCACUUGGCUGGUUGGUGGUUGAACUAGCCCUAGGAACAGCAUCUUUUAACAAGUCCUACCUCUCCUUUUUUGAUAACAUUACACUGUACCAGAAAAGAAGAAACAUUCUUUUAUUGAAUUUGCUAGUAGUUAUACAUGGAUUUUAAGGCCAGACCAAUAUACAGAAUGACCAGGUUUAACGGAACACUGAGACCAUGAUGAAAGCUGAACUGACUGAUUCUCCGGAGCAAUGCCAUCUCCAGGCUUUCAAGGAAUAUUAUUGAAUGAAGCAAACAGAUGGAAGACGAUCAUCAUUCCCCAGUGAGCGUUUAGGAGAAUCUAUGUGAUGGAAGGACAAACCCAGGCCUCAUCCUUCCGUGCAGGUCCCGUGUGUGUCAGCCAGACAAAGAGACACAGAGAGCAAUGCCUGGGAGGGCCCUGAGUGCAGGCGCUUCUGUCCCUGUACAGUAGGCCCCAACACUGGACUGGAACUCAUGACC